This is a non-coding RNA of Podarcis lilfordi (Lilford's wall lizard), 73 nucleotides long. Lineage: Eukaryota; Metazoa; Chordata; Lepidosauria; Squamata; Lacertidae. The record is from the annotation of a GenBank genome assembly.
GGCUGCCGUAGUUCAGUGGUAGAGCACCAGCUUUGCAAGCAAAAGGUUCCAGGUUCAAUCCCCGGGUAGGCCU